RNAcentral lists this ribosomal RNA (774 nucleotides) under uncultured bacterium. Its description in RNAcentral is "bacterial SSU rRNA". It matches the Rfam family "Bacterial small subunit ribosomal RNA", at positions 8 to 796 of the family's 1533-position model. The record is from RNAcentral.
AGAGUUUGAUCAUGGCUCAGGACGAACGCUGGCGGCGUGCUUAACACAUGCAAGUCGAGCGAGGCCCUCCUUCGGGGGGUGCCCUAGCGGCGAACGGGUGAGUAACACGUGGGCAACCUGCCCUCAGCUCUGGGAUAACUCCAAGAAAUUGGUGCUAAUACCGGAUGUGACCGCUGACCGCAUGGUCUGGUGGUGGAAAGAUUUAUCGGCUGAGGAUGGGCCCGCGGCCUAUCAGCUUGUUGGUGGGGUCACGGCCCACCAAGGCGACGACGGGUAGCCGGCCUGAGAGGGUGACCGGCCACACUGGGACUGAGACACGGCCCAGACUCCUACGGGAGGCAGCAGUGGGGAAUAUUGCGCAAUGGGCGAAAGCCUGACGCAGCGACGCCGCGUGAGGGAUGACGGCCUUCGGGUUGUAAACCUCUUUCAGUAGGGACGAAGCGCAAGUGACGGUACCUACAGAAGAAGCACCGGCCAACUACGUGCCAGCAGCCGCGGUAAUACGUAGGGUGCAAGCGUUGUCCGGAAUUAUUGGGCGUAAAGAGCUCGUAGGCGGUCUGUUGCGUCGGCUGUGAAAACUCGGGGCUCAACUCCGAGCUUGCAGUCGAUACGGGCAGGCUAGAGUUCGGCAGGGGAGACUGGAAUUCCUGGUGUAGCGGUGAAAUGCGCAGAUAUCAGGAGGAACACCGGUGGCGAAGGCGGGUCUCUGGGCCGAUACUGACGCUGAGGAGCGAAAGCGUGGGGAGCGAACAGGAUUAGAUACCCUAGUAGUCC